CCAUAAUGGAUGCUUUUUUUCAGCUGUAGCUGGAGGCAACAACAGAGGAGAGUGAAGAACUACAAGCCCUUUGCCUCCUAUUUAAACAUCCUGCAGUCAAAAGGCAUGUCAGUCACAGCAAACACUGUGACAGGCAUGGAGCCAGUAAUUUUGCCAUCUGAACCUGGGUCCAAACUCAAUGUGCAGUGGCUGUAAACCGAUAACACCAGCUGCCCUGAGGUCUGUCUUCACAAAUUGGAGUCAUGUUAGGACAG
Long non-coding RNA from Monopterus albus (swamp eel), 254 nucleotides. RefSeq lists it as uncharacterized. Lineage: Eukaryota; Metazoa; Chordata; Actinopteri; Synbranchiformes; Synbranchidae. The record is from RefSeq and is a predicted model, not a curated record. The transcript is spliced from 2 exons.